Molecule: ribosomal RNA, 429 nt
Filed under: Bacteroidota bacterium
Lineage: Bacteria; Pseudomonadati; Bacteroidota
Description: Bacteroidetes bacterium partial 16S ribosomal RNA
Rfam family: Bacterial small subunit ribosomal RNA
Source: RNAcentral
UAGGGAAUCUUCCGCAAUGGACGCAAGUCUGACGGAGCAACGCCGCGUGAGUGAAGAAGGAUUUCGGUUCGUAAAACUCUGUUGUUAGAGAAGAACAGCGCAUAGAGUAACUGUUAUGCGUGUGACGGUAUCUAACCAGAAAGCCACGGCUAACUACGUGCCAGCAGCCGCGGUAAUACGUAGGUGGCAAGCGUUGUCCGGAUUUAUUGGGCGUAAAGCGAGCGCAGGCGGUCAAUUAAGUCUGAUGUGAAAGCCCCCGGCUCAACCGGGGAGGGUCAUUGGAAACUGGUUGACUUGAGUGCAGAAGAGGAGAGUGGAAUUCCAUGUGUAGCGGUGAAAUGCGUAGAUAUGUGGAGGAACACCAGUGGCGAAGGCGACUCUCUGGUCUGUAACUGACGCUGAGGCUCGAAAGCGUGGGGAGCGAACAGG